UACGUAGGGGGCUAGCGUUAUCCGGAUUUACUGGGCGUAAAGGGUGCGUAGGUGGUUUUUUAAGUCAGGAGUGAAAGGCUACGGCUCAACCGUAGUAAGCUCUUGAAACUGAGAAACUUGAGUGCAGGAGAGGAAAGUGGAAUUCCUAGUGUAGCGGUGAAAUGCGUAGAUAUUAGGAGGAACACCAGUAGCGAAGGCGGCUUUCUGGACUGUAACUGACACUGAGGCACGAAAGCGUGGGGAGC
Molecule: ribosomal RNA, 245 nt
Filed under: uncultured bacterium
Lineage: Bacteria
Description: partial 16S ribosomal RNA
Rfam family: Bacterial small subunit ribosomal RNA
Source: RNAcentral